GAUGAACGCUGGCGGCGUGCCUAAUACAUGCAAGUCGAGCGAACAGACGAGGAGCUUGCUCCUCUGACGUUAUCGGCGGACGGGUGAGUAACACGUGGAUAACCUACCUAUAAGACUGGGAUAACUUCGGGAAACCGGAGCUAAUACCGGAUAAUAUAUUGAACCGCAUGGUUCAAUAGUGAAAGACGGUUUUGCUGUCACUUAUAGGUGGAUCCGCGCCGCAUUAGCUAGUUGGUAAGGUAACGGCUUACCAAGGCAACGAUGCGUAGCCGACCUGAGAGGGUGAUGGGCCACACUGGAACUGAGACACGGUCCAGACUCCUACGGGAGGCAGCAGUAGGGAAUCUUCCGCAAUGGGCGAAAGCCUGACGGAGCAACGCCGCGUGAGUGAUGAAGGUCUUCGGAUCGUAAAACUCUGUUAUUAGGGAAGAACAAAUGUGUAAGUAACUAUGCACGUCUUGACGGUACCUAAUCAGAAAGCCACGGCUAACUACGUG
RNAcentral lists this ribosomal RNA (497 nucleotides) under uncultured bacterium. RNAcentral's name for it is "partial 16S ribosomal RNA". It matches the Rfam family "Bacterial small subunit ribosomal RNA", at positions 28 to 507 of the family's 1533-position model. The record is from RNAcentral.